GAAAGCUAUUUAGGUAGCGCCUCGUGAAUUCAUCUCCGGGGGUAGAGCACUGUUUCGGCAAGGGGGUCAUCCCGACUUACCAACCCGAUGCAAACUGCGAAUACCGGAGAAUGUUAUCACGGGAGACACACGGCGGGUGCUAACGUCCGUCGUGAAGAGGGAAACAACCCAGACCGCCAGCUAAGGUCCCAAAGUCAUGGUUAAGUGGGAAACGAUGUGGGAAGGCCCAGACAGCCAGGAUGUUGGCUUAGAAGCAGCCAUCAUUUAAAGAAAGCGUAAUAGCUCACUGGUCGAGUCGGCCUGCGCGGAAGAUGUAACGGGGCUAAACCAUGCACCGAAGCUGCGGCAGCGACGCUUAUGCGUUGUUGGGUAGGGGAGCGUUCUGUAAGCCUGUGAAGGUGUGCUGUGAGGUAUGCUGGAGGUAUCAGAAGUGCGAAUGCUGACAUAAGUAACGAUAAAGCGGGUGAAAAGCCCGCUCGCCGGAAGACCAAGGGUUCCUGUCCAACGUUAAUCGGGGCAGGGUGAGUCGACCCCUAAGGCGAGGCCGAAAGGCGUAGUCGAUGGGAAACAGGUUAAUAUUCCUGUACUUGGUGUUACUGCGAAGGGGGGACGGAGAAGGCUAUGUUGGCCGGGCGACGGUUGUCCCGGUUUAAGCGUGUAGGCUGGUUUUCCAGGCAAAUCCGGAAAAUCAAGGCCGAGGCGUGAUGACGAGGCACUACGGUGCUGAAGCAACAAAUGCCCUGCUUCCAGGAAAAGCCUCUAAGCAUCAGGUAACAUCAAAUCGUACCCCAAACCGACACAGGUGGUCAGGUAGAGAAUACCAAGGCGCUUGAGAGAACUCGGGUGAAGGAACUAGGCAAAAUGGUGCCGUAACUUCGGGAGAAGGCACGCUGAUACGUAGGUGAAGCGACUUGCUCGUGGAGCUGAAAUCAGUCGAAGAUACCAGCUGGCUGCAACUGUUUAUUAAAAACACAGCACUGUGCAAACACGAAAGUGGACGUAUACGGUGUGACGCCUGCCCGGUGCCGGAAGGUUAAUUGAUGGGGUUAGCGCAAGCGAAGCUCUUGAUCGAAGCCCCGGUAAACGGCGGCCGUAACUAUAACGGUCCUAAGGUAGCGAAAUUCCUUGUCGGGUAAGUUCCGACCUGCACGAAUGGCGUAAUGAUGGCCAGGCUGUCUCCACCCGAGACUCAGUGAAAUUGAACUCGCUGUGAAGAUGCAGUGUACCCGCGGCAAGACGGAAAGACCCCGUGAACCUUUACUAUAGCUUGACACUGAACAUUGAGCCUUGAUGUGUAGGAUAGGUGGGAGGCUUUGAAGUGUGGACGCCAGUCUGCAUGGAGCCGACCUUGAAAUACCACCCUUUAAUGUUUGAUGUUCUAACGUGGACCCGUGAUCCGGGUUGCGGACAGUGUCUGGUGGGUAGUUUGACUGGGGCGGUCUCCUCCUAAAGAGUAACGGAGGAGCACGAAGGUUGGCUAAUCCUGGUCGGACAUCAGGAGGUUAGUGCAAUGGCAUAAGCCAGCUUGACUGCGAGCGUGACGGCGCGAGCAGGUGCGAAAGCAGGUCAUAGUGAUCCGGUGGUUCUGAAUGGAAGGGCCAUCGCUCAACGGAUAAAAGGUACUCCGGGGAUAACAGGCUGAUACCGCCCAAGAGUUCAUAUCGACGGCGGUGUUUGGCACCUCGAUGUCGGCUCAUCACAUCCUGGGGCUGAAGUAGGUCCCAAGGGUAUGGCUGUUCGCCAUUUAAAGUGGUACGCGAGCUGGGUUUAGAACGUCGUGAGACAGUUCGGUCCCUAUCUGCCGUGGGCGCUGGAGAACUGAGGGGGGCUGCUCCUAGUACGAGAGGACCGGAGUGGACGCAUCACUGGUGUUCGGGUUGUCAUGCCAAUGGCACUGCCCGGUAGCUAAAUGCGGAAGAGAUAAGUGCUGAAAGCAUCUAAGCACGAAACUUGCCCCGAGAUGAGUUCUCCCUGACCCUUUAAGGGUCCUGAAGGAACGUUGAAGACGACGACGUUGAUAGGCCGGGUGUGUAAGCGCAGCGAUGCGUUGAGCUAACCGGUACUAAUGAACCGUGAGGCUUAACCUU
RNAcentral lists this ribosomal RNA (2087 nucleotides) under Shigella flexneri. RNAcentral describes it as "partial 23S ribosomal RNA". It matches the Rfam family "Bacterial large subunit ribosomal RNA", at positions 861 to 2925 of the family's 2925-position model. The record is from RNAcentral. Lineage: Bacteria; Pseudomonadati; Pseudomonadota; Gammaproteobacteria; Enterobacterales; Enterobacteriaceae.